CUUAACAGGGCGACUUGAGUCCCGCGCCGCGGACGCGAAGCCGGGUGAGCUAUCCGUGGGCAGGCUGAAGCGGGGGUAAGACCCCGUGGAGGGCCGAACGCACGUCGGUUGAAAACGGCGGCGAUGACCUGCGGAUAGGGGUGAAAGGCCAAUCAAACCCGGAGAUAUCUCGUUCUCCCCGAAAUAGCUUUAGGGCUAGCGUCGCGCGUUCACCGCCGGAGGUAGAGCACCGGAUGGACGAGGGGGCUUCGCCGCCUACCGAAUCCAACCGAACUCCGAAUGCCGGCGGCCCAGAGCGCGGCAGUCAGAGCAUGUGGGCUAAGCUGUGUGCUCGAGAGGGAAACAGCCCGGACCGCCCGCUAAGGUCCCCAAGUUCCAGCCGAGUGGCAAAGGAUGUGCGUCCGCCCAGACAACCAGGAUGUUGGCUUAGAAGCAGCCAUCCAUUCAAAGAGUGCGUAACAGCUCACUGGUCGAGUGGACAUGCGCCGACAAUACACGGGGCUAAGCUGGACACCGAAGCGGCGGGAUUUUAAUUCAUUAGAAUCGGUAGGGGAGCUUCCCAUGGGCGGAGAAGCCGGAGGGCGACCGACGGUGGAGCGCAUGGGAGUGAGAAUGCUGGCAUGAGUAGCGAGAGACGAGAGAGUAACUCGUCCGCCGUGAACCCGAGGUUUCCUGGGCAAGGCUAAUCCUCCCAGGGUCAGUCGGGGGCUAAGGCGAGGCCGGGAGGCGUAGCCGACGCGCAGCAGGCAGACAUUCCUGCACCGCGCACGCGGCGCUACGACCGACGGGGCGACGGAUGGGGGUGGCUCGGCGGGGUUCUGGACGUCCCCGUGAUGGAGCGCGGCCCGCGGACUAGGGAAAUCCGGUCCGCAUUGAGGGCGAGGCUCCGGACGAAGCGAUUGAGCGAAGCGAGUGAGCCCGAGGUCCCUAGAAAAACCCCUAGGCAGGCGCGUGCGCGCCCGUACCGCAAACCGACACAGGUGGGUGGGUAGAACAUACCGAGGCGAUCGGGUCAACCAUGGUCAAGGAACUCGGCACAAUGGCCCCGUAACUUCGGGAGAAGGGGUGCCCGCGCGUACGUGAACGGACUUGCUCCGGGAGCGGAGGCGGGCCGCAGUGGAGAGGCCCAAGCGACUGUUUACCAAAAACACAGGACUCUGCAGAAGCCGCAAGGCGACGUAUAGGGUCUGACGCCUGCCCGGUGCCGGAAGGUCACGCGGAGGAGUUAGCGCAUCGCGCGAAGCCCCGAAGCCAAGCCCCGGUAAACGGCGGCCGUAACUAUAACGGUCCUAAGGUAGCGAAAUUCCUUGUCGGGUAAGUUCCGACCUGCACGAAAGGCGCAACGACUUGGGCGCUGUCUCGACCAUGGACCCGGUGAAAUUGCACUGGUCGUGAAGAUGCGACUUACCCGCGGAAGGACGGAAAGACCCCGUGAACCUUCACUGCAGCUUGGCAUUGGCCGCUGGUCCCGCGUGUAGAGGAUAGGCAGGAGGCAUAGAUCCGGAGGCGCCAGC
RNAcentral lists this ribosomal RNA (1514 nucleotides) under human gut metagenome. RNAcentral describes it as "bacterial LSU rRNA". It matches the Rfam family "Bacterial large subunit ribosomal RNA", at positions 683 to 2175 of the family's 2925-position model. The record is from RNAcentral.